UACAGAGGUCUCAAGCGUUGUUCGGAUUCAUUGGGCGUAAAGGGCGCGUAGGCGGCCGACCAAGUCGGAUGUGAAAUCCCUCGGCUCAACCGAGGAACUGCACUCGAUACUGGUUGGCUAGAGUCCGGGAGGGGAUGGUGGAAUUCCCAGUGUAGCGGUGAAAUGCGUAGAUAUUGGGAAGAACACCGGUGGCGAAGGCGGCCAUCUGGACCGGUACUGACGCUGAGGCGCGAAAGCCAGGGGAGCGAAUGGG
Molecule: ribosomal RNA, 253 nt
Filed under: uncultured bacterium
Lineage: Bacteria
Description: partial 16S ribosomal RNA
Rfam family: Bacterial small subunit ribosomal RNA
Source: RNAcentral